This is a small nuclear RNA of Dendrobium catenatum, 102 nucleotides long. The record is from RefSeq and is a predicted model, not a curated record. NCBI's taxonomy places the organism in Eukaryota, Viridiplantae, Streptophyta, Magnoliopsida, Asparagales, Orchidaceae.
UUUCUAUUCAAAGACAUCAAUAAAAUUAAAAAGAUACACAGAUGAUUACUAUAGCCCUGCGCAAGGAUAACAUGCAUAAAUCAACAAAUUGACCAAAUUUUU